Molecule: ribosomal RNA, 83 nt
Filed under: Ailuropoda melanoleuca (giant panda)
Lineage: Eukaryota; Metazoa; Chordata; Mammalia; Carnivora; Ursidae
Source: RNAcentral
CCAUACCACCCUGAACACGCCCGAUCUCGUCUGAUCUCGGAAGCUAAGCAGGGUCGGGCCUGGUUAGUACUUGGAAGGGAGAC